Molecule: ribosomal RNA, 482 nt
Filed under: uncultured bacterium
Lineage: Bacteria
Description: partial 16S ribosomal RNA
Rfam family: Bacterial small subunit ribosomal RNA
Source: RNAcentral
AUUGAACGCUGGCGGCAUGCCUUACACAUGCAAGUCGAACGGUAACAGGUCUUCGGUUGCUGACGAGUGGCGAACGGGGGAGUAAUACAUCGGAACGUGCCCGAUCGCGGGGGAUAACGGAGCGAAAGCUUUGCUAAUACCGCAUACGAUCUACGGAUGAAAGCCGGGGGCCGCAAGGCCUUGCGCGGGCGGAGCGGCCGAUGGCAGAUUGGGUAGUUGGUGGGUUAAAAGCUUACCAAGCCGACGAUCUGUAGCUGGUCUGAGAGGAGGACCGGCCACACUGGAACUGAGACACGGCCCAGACUCCUACGGGAGGCAGCAGUGGGGAAUUUUGGACAAUGGGCGAAAGCCUGAUCCAGCCAUGCCGCGUGCAGGAUGAAGGCCUUCGGGUUGUAAACUGCUUUUGUACGGAACGAAAAGACUCUUUCUAAUAAAGAGGGUCCAUGACGGUACCGUAAGAAUAAGCACCGGCUAACUACGUG